AGUCACUGACAUUAGAUACCCGCGUAGUCCAGGGUGUAAACGCUGCAGACUUGGUGUUGGAGGCCCUUUGGGGGCAUUCAGUGCCGGAGAGAAGUUGUUAAGUCUGCUACUUGGGAGUACGUCCGCAAGGAUGAAACUUAAAGGAAUUGGCGGGGAGCACCACAACGGGUGGAGCCUGCGGUUUAAUUGGACUCAACGCCGGAAAUCUCACCGGAUAGGACAGACAUAUGAUAGUCGGGCUGAAGACUCUACUUGAUGAUCUG
RNAcentral lists this ribosomal RNA (263 nucleotides) under uncultured archaeon. Its description in RNAcentral is "partial 16S ribosomal RNA". It matches the Rfam family "Archaeal small subunit ribosomal RNA", at positions 716 to 982 of the family's 1478-position model. The record is from RNAcentral.